Molecule: ribosomal RNA, 200 nt
Filed under: uncultured bacterium
Lineage: Bacteria
Description: partial 16S ribosomal RNA
Rfam family: Bacterial small subunit ribosomal RNA
Source: RNAcentral
GAUAAACGCUAGCGGCAGGCUUAAUACAUGCAAGUCGAGGGGGCAGCAAUGUCACCGGCGGACGGGUGCGUAACGCGUAUGAAACCUACCUUUAUCAGGGGGAUAGCCCGGGGAAACCCGGAUUAAUACCGCAUAAUAUAAGGAACGGCAUCGUUUUUUAUUGAAAGAUUUAUUGGAUAGAGAUGGUCAUGCGUAGGAUU